CGAGUACCAACUGGAGGGCAAGUUCUGGUGCCAGCAGCCGCGGUAAUUCCAGCUCCAGUAGCGUAUAUUAAAGUUGCUGCAGUUAAAAGCUCGUAGUUGAAUUUCUGUUUGUAAGAGUCGAAGCUUUACAGCUAAGAUUUCUUCGAACAUCUGUUUGCAAGCAUACGUUCGGCCUUCACUGGUUGGCUAUGUAAGCAAGCGCUUUACCUUGAGAAAAUUAGAGUGUUCCAGGCAGGCUUCAGCCGGAAUACAUUAGCAUGGAAUAAUGGAAUAGGACUGGGGACUAUUUAUUGGUUUGAGGCUCCAGUAAUGAUUAAUAGGAACAGUCGGGGGCAUUGGUACUUAACAGUCAGAGGUGAAAUUCUUGGAUUUGUUUAAAGACUAACUAAUGCGAAAGCAUUUGCCAAGCAUGUUUUCAUUAAUCAAGAACGAAAGUUAAGGGAUCGAAGACGAUUAGAUACCGUCGUAGUCUUAACUGUAAACUAUGCCGACCAGGGAUAUGAGUUGUUAGGAUUAUAUG
RNAcentral lists this ribosomal RNA (520 nucleotides) under uncultured eukaryote. Its description in RNAcentral is "bacterial SSU rRNA". It matches the Rfam family "Eukaryotic small subunit ribosomal RNA", at positions 538 to 1074 of the family's 1831-position model. The record is from RNAcentral.